CGCAGCCGCGGUAAUUCCAGCUCCAAUAGCGUAUAUUAAAGUUGUUGCAGUUAAAAAGCUCGUAGUUGAAUUUCGGGAUCAGAUUGUCGGUCGUGCCUCGGUACGCACUGGCAUUAUUGGUUCCUACCUUCUGAAGAACCGCGAUGUCAUUAAUUUGGUGUCGUGGGGAAUCAGGACUGUUACUUUGAAAAAAUUAGAGUGUUUAAAGCAGGCGCACGCUUGAAUACAUUAGCAUGGAAUAAUGAAAUAGGACGUUUGAUUCUAUUUUGUUGGUUUCUAGGAUCGACGUAAUGAUUAAUAGGGAUAGUUGGGGGCAUUAGUAUUCAAUUGUCAGAGGUGAAAUUCUUGGAUUUAUUGAAGACUAACUACUGCGAAAGCAUUUGCCAAGGAUGUUUUCAUUAAUCAAGAACGAAAGUUAGGGAUCGAAGACGAUCAGAUACCGUCGUAGUCUUAACCAUAAACUAUGCCGACUAGGGAUCGGAUGGUGUUAAUUUUAUAAUGACUCAUUCGGCGCCUUAAC
This 520-nucleotide ribosomal RNA is filed under the name uncultured Glomus. Its description in RNAcentral is "SSU rRNA". It matches the Rfam family "Eukaryotic small subunit ribosomal RNA", at positions 569 to 1092 of the family's 1831-position model. The record is from RNAcentral. Lineage: Eukaryota; Fungi; Glomeromycota; Glomeromycetes; Glomerales; Glomeraceae.